Molecule: ribosomal RNA, 456 nt
Filed under: uncultured bacterium
Lineage: Bacteria
Description: SSU rRNA
Rfam family: Bacterial small subunit ribosomal RNA
Source: RNAcentral
AGAACGAACGCUGGCGGCGCGCUUAACACAUGCAAGUCGCGCGGACGGGCUUCGGCCCGUCAGCGGCGCACGGGUGAGUAACGCGUGGGAACCUGCCCCGGGGCCCGGGACAACCGCGGGAAACUGCGGCUAAUACCGGGUACGACCCAUGGGUGAUAGGGGCUUCGGCCCCGCCCCGGGAUGGGCCCGCGUCCGAUUAGGUAGACGGCGGGGUAACGGCCCACCGUGCCUUCGAUCGGUAGCCGGUCUGAGAGGAUGAUCGGCCACACUGGGACUGAGACACGGCCCAGACUCCUACGGGAGGCAGCAGUGGGGAAUCUUGGACAAUGGGCGCAAGCCUGAUCCAGCGACGCCGCGUGGGUGACGAAGGCCUUCGGGUUGUAAAGCCCUUUUGCCGGGGACGAUGAUGACGGUACCCGGCGAAUAAGCUCCGGCUAACUCCGUGCCAGCAGCCGC